GCGAGUGUGCUGGAAUUGGCAGACAGGCACGUUUGAGGGGCGUGUGUCGGAUGGCGUAUGGGUUCAAGUCCCAUCACUCGCACCA
RNAcentral lists this transfer RNA (85 nucleotides) under Clostridiaceae bacterium. Its description in RNAcentral is "tRNA-Leu". It matches the Rfam family "tRNA". From Rfam's summary of the family: Transfer RNA (tRNA) molecules are approximately 80 nucleotides in length. Their secondary structure includes four short double-helical elements and three loops (D, anti-codon, and T loops). The record is from RNAcentral. Lineage: Bacteria; Bacillati; Bacillota; Clostridia; Eubacteriales; Clostridiaceae.